AAUGACUAAAAUGUAGACAUUUACACGCAUAGGCACAUUAAUGUUAUACAAAAUAUAAGAAAAGCAUGUUAGGUUGUGGGAAUAUGGGGUUUGAUAAUGGCUCCAAUGAACACAUGGCUCCAUGUGCUUUUAUACUUAUUUCGAUAUACAAAAAAAAAAAACUAUAUAUUAUAACCUUUCUUAAAUAAUAAUAUGUAACUAUUGACUAAAACCCAAAAAGGCAAUAAUUUAUUUUAAAUGGUCAGCUCAUAUUCAUUGGAUACAAUGCACUUUUCAUGUAAAAUAUUAUAAAUUCAUGUAAAAUAUUAUAAAAAAUGUGUUUGUGUUUCUACUACAAAGCAUGUGAGUGUUCC
This 353-nucleotide long non-coding RNA is filed under the name Capsella rubella. Its description in RNAcentral is "long non-coding RNA (CRUB_LNC002520)". Lineage: Eukaryota; Viridiplantae; Streptophyta; Magnoliopsida; Brassicales; Brassicaceae. The record is from RNAcentral.